This 497-nucleotide ribosomal RNA is filed under the name uncultured bacterium. RNAcentral's name for it is "partial 16S ribosomal RNA". It matches the Rfam family "Bacterial small subunit ribosomal RNA", at positions 28 to 507 of the family's 1533-position model. The record is from RNAcentral.
GAUGAACGCUGGCGGCGUGCCUAAUACAUGCAAGUCGAGCGAACAGACGAGGAGCUUGCUCCUCUGACGUUAGCGGCGGACGGGAGAGUAACACGUGGAUCACCUACCUAUAAGACUGGGAUAACUUCGGGAAACCGGAGCCAAUACCGGAUAAUAUAUUGAACCGCAUGGUUCAAUAGUGAAAGACGGUUUUGCUGUCACUUAUAGAUGGAUCCGCGCCGCAUUAGCUAGUUGGUAAGGUAACGGCUUACCAAGGCAACGAUGCGUAGCCGACCUGAGAGGGUGAUCGGCCACACUGGAACUGAAACACGGUCCAGACUCCUACGGGAGGCAGCAGUAGGGAAUCUUCCGCAAUGGGCGGAAGCCUGACGGAGCAACGCCACGUGAGUGAUGAAGGUCUUCGGAUCGUAAAACUCUGUUAUUAGGGAAGAACAAAUGUGUAAGUAACUAUGCACGUCUUGACGGUACCUAAUCAGAAAGCCACGGCUAACUACGUG